RNAcentral lists this small RNA (277 nucleotides) under Pongo abelii (Sumatran orangutan). Its description in RNAcentral is "retained intron". The record is from RNAcentral. Lineage: Eukaryota; Metazoa; Chordata; Mammalia; Primates; Hominidae.
CCUUCUUUCUCAUGACUAUGGAGAUAUUGUUGCUCAGGAGCUUCUCUACAGGUACAAGCAGAAUCGAUCUGGUCGGCUUACCAUAAAGAGUCUCUGUCUGUCAAAUGGAGGUAUCUUUCCUGAGACUCACCGUCCACUCCUUCUCCAAAAGGUUGGUACUUCACUGAUAGACUUUAGUUUUAGGAUUUGUACUGACGUAAAUAAUGCUGGGACCUUUUAAGGGCCAUAGCUCCUGUAAUCGGCAGUAGUGAAAUCCUCUUCCUUGUGAAUUUAUAUU